AUUGAACGCUGGCGGCAUGCCUUACACAUGCAAGUCGAACGGCAGCACGGGUGCUUGCACCUGGUGGCGAGUGGCGAACGGGUGAGUAAUACAUCGGAACGUACCUUAUCGUGGGGGAUAACGCAGCGAAAGCUGUGCUAAUACCGCAUACGCCCUGAGGGGGAAAGCGGGGGAUCGAAAGACCUCGCGCGAUUAGAGCGGCCGAUGGCUGAUUAGCUUGUUGGUGGGGUAAAAGCCCACCAAGGCGACGAUCAGUAGCUGGUCUGAGAGGACGAUCAGCCACACUGGGACUGAGACACGGCCCAGACUCCUACGGGAGGCAGCAGUGGGGAAUUUUGGACAAUGGGGGCAACCCUGAUCCAGCAAUGCCGCGUGAGUGAAGAAGGCCUUCGGGUUGUAGAGCUCUUUUGUCAGGGAAGAAACACCGGCUCUAACACAGUCCGGGAAUGACGGUACCUGAAGAAUAAGCACCGGCUAACUACGUGCCAGCCGCCGCGGUAA
This 501-nucleotide ribosomal RNA is filed under the name uncultured bacterium. RNAcentral's name for it is "partial 16S ribosomal RNA". It matches the Rfam family "Bacterial small subunit ribosomal RNA", at positions 29 to 523 of the family's 1533-position model. The record is from RNAcentral.